UGGCGCCUGCGGCGGACCCGGCACGGCUUAUGAUGGACUUCGCAGGCAGCCAAGCCGUGUACGGUCUGGUACACCCCGGAAUCCUCCGGGCUUUAAUGCUUUCU
The submitters of this non-coding RNA (104 nucleotides) gave its source as unclassified sequences. The record is from Rfam.